This 279-nucleotide long non-coding RNA is filed under the name Homo sapiens (human). RNAcentral's name for it is "non-protein coding LINC01233:6". The record is from RNAcentral. Lineage: Eukaryota; Metazoa; Chordata; Mammalia; Primates; Hominidae.
GCCGGAUCCAGGGACAAUGGGGUGGGGCGGGCUUUCCCUGGGUGGGCGCAGCGGCUUCCUGGGUCCCCCUCACGCUCUGGGUCAGAGUUCCUUUACAGGCGGACCUGAGAGGCAACUCACCGACUCCUGCCCUGGACCCUCCUGCGCCACUGAACCCCCUGACCUGGGAGCCUCGGAACCUAGGGCUCAGGAGUGGCAACUCUAGUGUGUGAGAAAAUUAAUGUGACAGCUGAAUUUGUAGAAAGCUGCUUUGACUCUCUUGGGCCCCUUCAUAAGCCC